GUGGUCUAUGAUGAUGCCUUUACCAGCUUUAAUCCGAGUGUCAUGACCAUGUGACACUACCAUCUGAGACCAG
Molecule: small nucleolar RNA, 73 nt
Organism: Pseudonaja textilis
Lineage: Eukaryota; Metazoa; Chordata; Lepidosauria; Squamata; Elapidae
Source: Ensembl